UGAGGAAUCUUGCACAAUGGGCGAAAGCCUGAUGCAGCGACGCCGCGUGGAGGAUGAAGGUCUUCGGAUUGUAAACUCCUGUUAAACGGGAAGAAAGAUCUGUUUCUAAUACAAGCAGAUUAUGACGGUACCGUUAGAGAAAGCACCGGCUAACUUCGUGCCAGCAGCCGCGGUAAUACGAGGGGUGCAAGCGUUAUUCGGAUUGAUUGGGUGUAAAGGGUGUGCAGACGGCUUAUUAAGUCACUUGUUAAAUUCUUCGGCCUAACUGAAGGUCUGCAAGUGAUACUGAUGAGCUAGAGGGUGGAAGAGAGAAGUGGAAUUCGCGGAGUAGCGGUAAAAUGCGUAGAUCUCGAGAGGAACACCAAUGGCGAAGGCAGCUUCUUGGUCCAUUCCUGACGUUCAUACACGAAAGCGUGGGGAGCAAACA
RNAcentral lists this ribosomal RNA (427 nucleotides) under uncultured prokaryote. Its description in RNAcentral is "bacterial SSU rRNA". It matches the Rfam family "Bacterial small subunit ribosomal RNA", at positions 355 to 774 of the family's 1533-position model. The record is from RNAcentral.